UAGGGAAUCUUCGGCAAUGGGGGGAACCCUGACCGAGCAACGCCGCGUGAGUGAAGAAGGUUUUCGGAUCGUAAAGCUCUGUUGUUAAGGAAGAACGAGUGUGAGAAUGGAAAGUUCAUACUGUGACGGUACUUAACCAGAAAGGGACGGCUAACUACGUGCCAGCAGCCGCGGUAAUACGUAGGUCCCGAGCGUUGUCCGGAUUUAUUGGGCGUAAAGCGAGCGCAGGCGGUUAGAUAAGUCUGAAGUUAAAGGCAGUGGCUCAACCAUUGUAGGCUUUGGAAACUGUUUAACUUGAGUGCAGAAGGGGAGAGUGGAAUUCCAUGUGUAGCGGUGAAAUGCGUAGAUAUAUGGAGGAACACCGGUGGCGAAAGCGGCUCUCUGGUCUUUAACUGACGCUGAGGCUCGAAAGCGUGGGGAGCGAACAGG
This 429-nucleotide ribosomal RNA is filed under the name Bacteroidota bacterium. RNAcentral describes it as "Bacteroidetes bacterium partial 16S ribosomal RNA". It matches the Rfam family "Bacterial small subunit ribosomal RNA", at positions 355 to 776 of the family's 1533-position model. Lineage: Bacteria; Pseudomonadati; Bacteroidota. The record is from RNAcentral.